AGGUACAUUUGCUUCUUUCAAUUUUCAUAGGACUUGAGAGCCAAUUUUCCUCUAAAGGUGUGUGUGUGGCUCGUUGUCAAAUGGGUUAUAUUCAAGAAUGCUUCUUGAUUAUCCAAGUGUAAGAUGAAGCCAACAAAUUCUUCAAGGAAACAGCCCUGUGCCAGGCACUGUGCUGCCUGUGAGGACACAAGGGAAGUAGAGGAUUCUUUCACAUUGCGAAGUGUAUCUCAGUAGCCUUCUGGGCACAAUAACCAGCAACUUUCCACCGUCUGUCAAGAUGCAGUGAGCCAUCACUGUGAAUUUCCUCCUGGCCAUGCCUGUGAUUUCAGCAGCAGAUCAAAUGUUGGUGUUCAAUUCAGAGAUGUACCU
Long non-coding RNA from Fukomys damarensis (Damara mole-rat), 369 nucleotides. RefSeq lists it as uncharacterized. Lineage: Eukaryota; Metazoa; Chordata; Mammalia; Rodentia; Bathyergidae. The record is from RefSeq and is a predicted model, not a curated record. The transcript has 3 exons.